This 72-nucleotide transfer RNA is filed under the name Caudoviricetes sp. RNAcentral describes it as "tRNA-Asn". It matches the Rfam family "tRNA". Rfam says of the family: Transfer RNA (tRNA) molecules are approximately 80 nucleotides in length. Their secondary structure includes four short double-helical elements and three loops (D, anti-codon, and T loops). Lineage: Duplodnaviria; Heunggongvirae; Uroviricota; Caudoviricetes. The record is from RNAcentral.
GGGAGAUUAGCCUAGUGGUUCAGGCAGUCGGCUGUUAACCGACCUACAGGUGUUCAAUUCACUUAUUUCCCG